RNAcentral lists this ribosomal RNA (1397 nucleotides) under metagenome. RNAcentral's name for it is "bacterial SSU rRNA". It matches the Rfam family "Bacterial small subunit ribosomal RNA". The record is from RNAcentral.
GUAGUGAAGCCUAGCGAACUACCGACAGUGGCGAACGGGUGCGUAUCACGUGGAUUACAUUCCGAAAAGAUGAGAAUAGCCCAGGGAAACUUGGAGUAAUUAUCAAUACGCCCGAAAGGGCAAAGAUGGGGACCGCAAGGCCUGUUGCUUUUCGCUUGGUCUGCGGCCUAUCAGCUAGUUGGUGAGGUAACGGCUCACCAAGGCGACGACGGGUAGCUGGUCUUAGAGGAUGAUCAGCCACACUGGAGCUGAGACACGGUCCAGACACCUACGGGUGGCAGCAGUCGAGAAUCUUUCACAAUGGGGGAAACCCUGAUGGAGUGACGCCGCGUGGAGGAUAAGGUCUUAGGAUUGUAAACUCCUGUCAUGCGAGAACAACUCGGCAAGAUUAACAGACUUGGUGCCUGAUAGUAUCGCAAGAGGAAGAGGCGGCAAACUCUGUGCCAGCAGCCGCGGUAAUACAGAGGCCUCAAGCGUUGUUCGGAAUUACUGGGCGUAAAGGGUGUGCAGGCCGCGCCGAUAGUCUGUUGCGAAAACUUCAGGCUCAACCUGAAUCCCGCAAUCGAAACUUCAGCGCUAGAGGUUCAAAGAGGGAAUUGGAAUUCACGGAGUAGCAGUGAAAUGCGUAGAGAUCGUGAGGAACACUAAAGGCGAAGGCAGAUUCCUAGUUGAAACCUGACGCUCAAACACGAAGGCCAGGGUAGCAAACGGGAUUAGAUACCCCGGUAGUCCUGGCAGUAAACGGUGCGCGCUUGGUUUGAGUUGGUUAGACCCAAUUUGAGCCGGAGCUAACGCGUUAAGCGCGCCGCCUGGGAAGUACGGUCGCAAGACUAAAACUCAAAGAAAUUGACGGGGACCCGCACAAGCGGUGGAGUAUGUGGCUUAAUUCGAUGCAACGCGAAGAACCUUACCUGGGCUUGACCUGCGGUUGAUAUGUGCCGAAAUGCACAACCGAAGCAAUUCGGCUACCGCGCAGGUGCUGCAUGGCUGUCGUCAGCUCGUGUCGUGAGAUGUUGGGUUAAGUCCCGCAACGAGCGCAACCCCUAUAGUUUGUUGCAAAUCGCAAGAUGCACUCUAACUAGACUGCCUAGAUUAACUAGGAGGAAGGUGGGGAUGACGUCAAGUCCUGAUGGCCCUUACGUCCAGGGCUGCACACGUACUACAAUGCAUAGCACAAAAAGAACCCAGAUCGCGAGAUUAGGGAAAUCAAUAAAGCUAUGCCUAGUUCGGAUUGUAGGCUGCAACUCGCCUGCAUGAAGUUGGAAUCGCUAGUAAUGGCACAUCAGCUACGGUGCCGUGAAUACGUUCCCGGGUCUUGUACACACCGCCCGUCACAUCAUGGAAAUUGACAUCGCCCCAAAUGACGACAGUCCUGAAGGCAACGCCGAUAACUGGGA